UUUAUAGAUGGUAGCCACUGUUGCCAAUAAUUUGGAAUAUUACCUUAAGAUUCAAAAUAUUAAAUUUGAAGUAAUAUUGUUUUAUAAAUUUUUUUAAUUUUAAGAAAACUCAAAAUGGAAAUAAUUUAAUAAUUUAUUUAGGGUACGAGUACCUCAUCUAAAUUUCAUCCAAUGGUAUUCCACAUUUGGAACCACAAGUUUCUCCCAUAGUGCCUGAUAUUCUUAAUUUGACAAUUUUCUUUAUAAUCUAGUUUCAUCCAAUGGUAUUCCACAUUUGGAACCACAAGUUUCUCCCAUAGUGCCUACACAAAUCUAGAUUCCCCUCUUGACAUAGCACAAACUUUAUUAGACUUAAAUUCAAAUAUUUAUGAAGCUCGUUUUGUCAAGAGUCAAAAGGGGAAAAUAUUACUAUUCUUUCAAAACUAUAUGUAUAGAUUUCACUCCCAAAAUGGGGAAUUUAUAAAAUAUCGAUGCAGAGUAGGAGAUUGCCAUGCUAAAUGUAUAUAUGAGGGUGCAUACACAGUCUCUGGUAUACAUGAUCAUGUAUUUGAAAUAGGGGCCUUCGAGAUGCUUAAAACUAAAGAAGCACUCGAAAACAUAAUAGCCUACAAUCCCUUGGAGACUCGGUUAAAUAUAUCAACAAACAAUGGAUAAAAGAUGUAUGGAGAACCCAGAAAUAGAAAACUAUCCUGAGGCCAUACCAUCAUUUAUAUCCCUGAGAAGUCACAUAGACAGACUUCUUAUUAAAUACAGCCCCCUAUGCCUCAAUCGAUUUCUGAGAUUGAGUUAACUGCAGAAUAUUCUACGACAACUCGUAAUGAACGAUUUUUAAUCCAUGGAACAGGCAACUUAUAUAUUUUUGGCACUGAUUCCAUGUUGCGUAUGGCCUCAAGUUCGGACAUGAUCUACAUGGAUGGAACUCUCCAUGUAGCUCCUACGUUAUUUUAUCAAUUAUAUACCUUUCAUGUUAUGUACGAAGAGGUUAUGAUACCCUUCAUUUAUGCACUACUACCAGAUAAAACUAGGGACACAUUUUUCAAAUUGUUAAUUUUUGUUCUGAAUGCCAAAUAUCUUUAAACCCUAGAUUUGGC
Molecule: long non-coding RNA, 1091 nt
Organism: Gordionus sp. m RMFG-2023
Lineage: Eukaryota; Metazoa; Nematomorpha; Gordioida; Chordodea; Parachordodidae
Exons: 3
Source: RefSeq, a predicted model, not a curated record